Molecule: non-coding RNA, 46 nt
Organism: Harpegnathos saltator (Jerdon's jumping ant)
Lineage: Eukaryota; Metazoa; Arthropoda; Insecta; Hymenoptera; Formicidae
Source: Rfam
CAAACGGCCCUUUUCAGGGCCAAAAUUAUUCUUACGAGGAACAUUU